Long non-coding RNA from Helianthus annuus (common sunflower), 2624 nucleotides. RefSeq lists it as uncharacterized. The record is from RefSeq and is a predicted model, not a curated record. The transcript has 3 exons. NCBI's taxonomy places the organism in Eukaryota, Viridiplantae, Streptophyta, Magnoliopsida, Asterales, Asteraceae.
AUAACUAUAUAAUACAUUUCCAAUGGACACAAAGGUAAUUUAACACCUUUUUUUUAAGAUGGCAGACUAACAGUCUUAAAUAAAACCUAUAUUUUUACAUUUUUCUUCCCAUUUUAUCCUCCUCUUCACCAGAAUUCGUUCUCUUUCAACCACAACUCAUCACGUUGUUGAACAUCAAGCGCCUGCACAUUGAAUAUGGAAUCAAAAGGUUAUGGUCUUCAAUGCUUCACCGGUUCGACUUCUCGGCAAUCAUUAUAGUCAGUUUACACACACAAAUACCGUCUGAUCACAACCCAACCCUACUGCAUAUAAAUCCCAAAGCAAUCAGUCAAUUCUCCAAAUUAGGGCAUUCAAAUCUCAGAUCUAAAGGUUAAAAAACGGUUGAACAAGAUGUUGACGAAGAUUGAGACGAAGAGUGAUCGAGUGAAAGGUUUGAGUUUCGACAGCAAGAGGCUGUGGAUCUUGGCGAGUCUUCACAGUGGUGUGAUUCAGCUAUGGGAGCUAUGGGAUUACCGGAUGGGGACACUCAUUGAUCGGUUUGAUGAACAUGAUCGUCCUGGUUCGUGGCGUGCCCUCAGUCGCAACCGCUUUUUUGUUUCUGGAGGUUUGUUAUGUUAUGUUUGGAUUGUGUUCAGAUGUAUGGAAUGGUUGUGGAUUUUAGGGAUUUUUUUUUACAGGUGACUUAAAGUCAUGACUUUUUAAAUCUAAUAAACUUUGUUCUUUGAUCUACCACAAUCGCUUGAACAUGAUAACAUUGGGGAUGAGGUAAAUGUCGACAGCGACCAGAUUUGCAUUUACUACUCUAACCAUGGUGGUCCUGUUGUUCUAAUUUAUUGACUAACUCCUUUAAAACUAAAAUAACUAUAUUAUUUUUUUGGUAAUUUUGUAACUUUUUUCAGGGAUGCCAACAAAACUUUACCUGUAUGCAAGCUAAAAGAACGGGUUCUAAUGGCAUGCGCGUCAAAGAAUGUGGGUAAAGAUGGUACUUGUGAAUGGGUUGUGUUUUAUCUCAAACUGGUCAAAUAAAAAUAAAGAUGGUAUAGUUUUAGUUUUAUAGUUUGAUUUUUUUUAUUAUCAAAUUUGGCUGGGUUUAUAAUCUUUAUCGUUUUUGGCCCAGUCCAACCGACCCAUGUUCAAAGAAUUGUGUAAUAGAUGAGCAUACUGAAGAUGAAAUAUAACUUCUUAAUCAUGUCUCACACAUUAUCAAGUCACUAAAUAAAUCCAAAAGAUUUGUACAAACAGCGUAAUGGUUCCACCCGUCCGACCCAGGUUCAAAGAAUGGUGUAAAAGAUGGGGGAUAUAACUUUAUUAUUCGUGUCUCAUACACUAUAAAGUUGUAAAAAAUCAAGAACUUUUGCACAAACUAUGUUUUGGGUCGAAUCGACUCGGCCAUGUUCAGAGAAUGGUGUGAAAGAUGAGCAUAUUGAGGGUGGAAUAGUGGUCCUAUGAGAAGUUAUAGAAAGGAGGAUGUGGGUUUCAUGGACAUGCAAAGCUUUUAGCUGUAUAUAGCUUUUGUUUUUGUUAUAGAUUUACAGGAGCCGGAAUGUGACUAGACCAUAAGCUUCGAAGAGCAUGUGGGUUUCAUGGACUUAUGUCUUUAUUCCCUAUAACGGCACGUAUGAUGACCUGGUCGCUGAAGUUCAUAACAAGCUGUGGAUAGUUUGGAAUGGGUCAAGUGGUCAACAGUAAAGUUGUUAUUUAGUCACAGGUUCAUUGAAUGGUUGUUAUGGGAUUCCGUUACCACAGCUCAUUGAAUGAGGUUUUAUUUAUGGUUUUAGAUGGUCAAAGUUUUCUGAAACCAACCCUCGGUUCAUGAGCAAACCGAAAAAAGAAAAGAAACCGAAACCAAAACCAAAACCAAAAACCGAAAUACGGAAUCAAGUCUCACCCCUGCCUGAGCUCAUUGCGGAGCCCACGAGCGCCUGGUCAAUGUUGUUUGUUAGGACCCAUGAGUCUUUAGCUUCGGAGAUCAUCAAAGGCGAAGGUCAUGGCAGCGUGGUUGACUGGUGGACGUUCGGGAUAUUUCUUUAUGAGCUUUUGUUCGGGAAAACUCUGUUCAAGGGGAACGAUAACCGGGCCACUUUGUUUAACGUUGUCGGGCAACCGUUGAGAUUUCCCGAUCGCCUUCGGUUAGUUUUGCGGCGAGGGAUUUGAUCAGGGGGUUACUUGUGAAAGAGCCGCAGCAUCGACUAGCAUAUAAACGAGGGGCAACCGAGAUCAAACAGCACCCGUUUUGUCAGAGCGUGAACUGGGCGCUGAUCCGCUGCGCUACUCCGCUGGAUGUACCAAAACCGGCGUCGGAAAUGGUGGUAGUAGACGUGAAACCUUCCGGUAACUACUUAGAGAUUGAUUUCUUUUAGUGUUGCCUGUCAAUGGAUUCUACUGAAUUUCAAAGGAACUUGAACCUGUGUUUUUCUUUUUUCUUAUGUUUAUGGUGGCUUCUAAUUGCCUUGUUUCAGUUAAUUUAUUACUGUUUAACAAAAUCCUAAUAAUGCCAAUAUUUUUCUUUUUAUAUUGUGUUAUUUUAUAUUUUUUUAGCUAUAAUACAACUAUAUAUAGUUAUAUACUUAUGAACCCAAACACUACUUUUACAUUUUUAUUUAUAUUUGUUAAUUUCAAAAGCA